GUGCUCGCUUCGGCAGCACAUACACUAAAAUUGGAACAAUACAAAGAUUAGCAUGGCCCCUUCGCAAGGAUGACACUCAAAUUCCCGAAGUGUUCCAUAUUUUU
Erinaceus europaeus (western European hedgehog) is the source of this 104-nucleotide small nuclear RNA. The record is from Ensembl. Lineage: Eukaryota; Metazoa; Chordata; Mammalia; Eulipotyphla; Erinaceidae.